RNAcentral lists this long non-coding RNA (8362 nucleotides) under Zea mays. RNAcentral describes it as "long non-coding RNA (ZMAY_LNC000957)". The record is from RNAcentral. Lineage: Eukaryota; Viridiplantae; Streptophyta; Magnoliopsida; Poales; Poaceae.
CAAGCUCAUUCUUAUCUCACGUACAGCUAUGCACCGUUCUUCAUCUGACUCUCUCACGGCCACACGUACUCGGUCUCAUCCUGAGCCGUUCUCUACGUGCACUCUUUGCUCUCUCUGACCAACAAGCCAUGUCUCCUCCGCGUUUGGUUCCUGCUGUACGCGCCUCCUCCUUGUUGUCCGUCCAUGGAGCUCGCUCCGGCCUCCUGCUCCCUCAGUCGGCACUGUGCUCGGCUUCCAGCUCAUCAAGCUCAGCCCCCAUGGCCGAGCGCCCUCCCAGCCAUGACCCCCCCGGUGUUUGGCCCUAGUCGCUCGCCCUCAACUGUGCUGCGCCAACGCUCCAGCCAUGGAGUCCCUACGCGCACACCUCCACUCGGAUUUCGCCAAGGCUCGUGCUGUUCCCUGGCGCUUCUUCCUGCGCCGCGCCCCUGGCUCCUCUGUUGGCCGCGCGGCCGUCUCCUGCUCCCUGCUCGCCGAGCUCCUUGUGCAGGCCGCAUUCCUCUACUCGGCCACGGAUGUCACAUUGUCGGCCGCGGCUUUCUCUCUCUACUUCACCUCCCUGUGCGUGGUAGUGCCCCUCUGCUCGCCACGGCGCGUCGAACUCUCGCGCCGAGUCCUUUUCCUGCUCGGCCGCCCGUGUUGCUGUUCUUUGCAUGUGCGCAGCUCCCUGUGCGUCGCUGUCCUCCCUCCCCAACUCCCUCUGGUCCGCGCUUUCUUCAGUUCGGCCAGACAGGACAUCGUUCCCUGCUGCAGUUCGUUGUUGAAUCGCCUGCUCGUUGUCUGUGCCAUCGAAACUUUCCGAGCUGUGCGCUCCUCUGUCCGGACCACCAGCCUACAAUUCCAGUAUUCUCGCCAUUGAAGAAUAGUCGCCGCACUCUGCGUCCUCGCCGUGUUCGUGAAGCUGUCGUGGAGUUGUUGUCAUUUUUCUUCGCGUCGUGUGCACACCACGCCGCCGCCUUCGUAUUUUUGGCAAGCCCCAACGUGCGCUCACGCUCAUCAUCCCCUGUUCGACCUUGUCGUCGAGCUUCGUCUCAGCCUUAGCUUGUCGGUCACGCUCGCCAGAUGUUCGAUCGAGGACUUCAGCUGAAGGCCGUCGUCGUUCAGGCAACUACCAAAUCAAAUUGAGAUGUGGUGAGCCGAUUCGCUAUUUUUACUAUUGGUUUUAUGAUUGUAAAAUAAGACGCAUCGUAUGUGUAUAAGAUUAAGUUAGAAAUACCAGUAAUGCGAAAGGUAGAUUAAAUUAUGUGAUAUUCGGGCGAGCUGAUGACGUAAAAAAAUAGACUAAGUAUUUCUAUCAGCUAGUUGAUAGAUUUUCUAGAGUUAUUAUGUCAAUUUGGGUAAUUGAUGUAGUCGAUACCCUGCUUAAUUAGUUAGUUUAUUCUAGAUUUGGUAUUUAGUUCGAUGUCAUGAGAGAUGUGCAAAUUACCUUGUAUAAUUAACGGUGAAUGGCAUCGACCUAUCUAAUUAGCGUAGAAUUUAAGAUAAUUGAGAAACCCAAUUUAGAAAGUUAGUUAAUAUGCCCCUUACUCUCAAUUGUCGGUAUUCAAAAAUAGUGAAUAAAAAUGUGAUGAGUAAUUUGAUAUUGGGUGUUUUGACAAAAGACUUGUGCUUAACUUAUUAUUGUUUGAUGUUUGAAAUAGAUGUGAUUAUGCUAAAAAAGGUGAUAAUUGGGCAUAGUCGUAUGUCGAUAAAUAGUGUUUUCGUAUGAAAUAGUACGACACUUCAUCACUAAGUUUUUAAUUCUUGUCGGUGUAGUACUAUUUAGAUCUGUGCUAUUUCUGUCUAUAUGCAUUCAUGUGCAUAAUGCAUUUCAUUUAGGUACGUGAAUUAACCACAUGAUGCGGAGAACCAGAACUGAGUCGACCACAAGAUGGUGCUGAUGAACGGAACUGAAGAUGGACAGACGAAACAAGUAUCAGAACAAAAGAUGGUCGUCAAGUGAUCGACGUCUAACAAACACUAACCUAGUGUUACCCAGGCAAGACCCGGUGCAUGCAACCCCUUUCUUAUGUUUUUAAAAGAUUUUUAUACACUUUAAGUCUAGUGAAAUGUGCAUUAAGUUUAUAGGAGUUGCUUGGAAACUAUUGGAUGCAUUGCCUACCUUAAUAUCCAUACCUUUAUAAAUACUUCUGAUGAAGUAUCAAAAUAUGAUUUACAAAAAUGCCUAGCCCUGCUUAAAUCUUGUGGAUAGAGGUUGUCUUUUGCAUUAAUGCCUAGCUCAGGGGUUAUCCUAAGGAAGGACGGCUUCUACCUGCAAGAAUAUUUUCAUUGGGAGCAUGGUGGGAUCUUACUGCAAAGUUCCCUAUAAUGCUCUUUUCAUCCUAAGGAACACAAACAAUCCUAAGGAUGGAAGUACAUAAAUCGGGACUUGGGCUAGGAACAGGUGAUGUUCUACCCAGGUUAAUUAAGGAUUGGAUGUGUAUGUAGGCCUGUUGAUCAAGGACUAUCUUAACUAGCCACAUGCCCUGGAUAUGGCACAGGGUAAGCUUGAACCCAGCUAUUCCAUACAUGAAAAGACAAUCGCGCACUGGGAGUAGAGAGAUGGCGAGAGUGGCACGUACCCUCCUGGCAAAGGAUCGCCUAAAAGGGGUGGUGUGCUCUCGGGUGGCGCGGACCUAUUCAUGCAGUGGAGGAUCCGUGGUAAUGGUAGACAUAUGCAAGAGUUACGAGAAACAUAUGUCGUGUGGUUAGAGAUCCUCAGCUGAGUAAAUCGAUUCGGAUCGCCGUUAUAUCCCCGAAGAGUGGAGACUUGAUCUCCGACCUACAACCUAAGUCAGGAUGUAAACAUUAUGAGUAAAAAAUGAUGUUGUAUUGAUGAGAUGGUGAAAUUAGACUAGGUGCAACCAGAGUCUAUUAAUAUUUAAUCUGGCGUUAAAAUAUUGAAAGUAAGGACUCACUUUAGUAAGCUAGUUCUGCAAAAGUAUCUAAGUUGAUUCUUGCUAAGAGCCUCUUCUUGAUUCCUAAAUCCAGCAUAUCCUUGAGAGUCUUUUUCCUUAGUUGGAUAAGACUUGCGAAAGUACACUUCGUACUCAGGGCUUUGUCCCAUGUUGUUUUAGGUGAAGAGCCUGCGGAGCUUUGCUACUUUUGUGCAAAGGUGGUUCCCAAGUAGAAGGAAGAACCGAAAAUAGAAGUGUGUUGCUGUGGAUGGUGCUAAGUGCCGGUGGGCUCGGUCUUCUUAUAAGUCUAAGUACCUCUUCUAUACUUCUUAUUAAGGAUGGUCACUUAAGCUAGCAUAUAUUUAAAACUUACAAGUAGUUUAUAACAUUUCAAAGUUUAUUUCUUUGAAUCACUUUGUAAUCACUCCGAUAAACAUAAUGUAAAGUUGAUGUAACUUGUAACCUUUUGUAAUAAAGAAAUUCCGCUGCAAAAUGUUGGUGUGUGAUUUGUGUUUACUUAAUCUUGCGGUUCUGGUUGUAAGUGUUUGAUCCGGGGUCCUUGGGACACUCGGACGGAUCCUGUUAAGUUAUUUGGUGCACAUGCAUAGCCGUCUGAGGUCUUUGAGACAAGGAUAGGUGCAUGUGGGCCCAAUAACUUAGGAGGUUCUGCCACAGCUGGUAUCAGAGCAGGAUUAAGUAUAUACGGUCACAUACGUAUUUUCAAAACAAAAGUUUUGGUUUUAUAAAACCUAUUUUCAACUAAACACAAUGUUUGGCUUUGAAAAAUAGUUUUGAAAAAACUAUAAUGCUAGCGACAUCCUCUAUUAAGCCCUAAAUUAAGGACUAUCAAGUGGCUUAGUUGAAAACAAUAACCCAUAACCGGGUGGAUAUUGCAUACAUGUGUAUUGUUAUUUUUGAGGCCAUUCAGUUUUGAAUGGAUUGACACUCGGGUAAGGUGAGAUGUGAGAGCAUGACUGGACAACCAUCGGUCUAGGGAAGAGUAUAAAAUGCGCUUGAUUAUAUACAUGUUCCACAUAUGUAUAUAUGAAGGCUGCGAAGUGGAGUAUUUAAUUUUCUGGGAAUUUAGUACCCCAUGGAUGUGUAUGGGUAUACAUACAUGGGAAUACUGAGAAAUGUAAUGUAUUUGUAACGACGCACCUACGCUCAGGUAAGAAGGUGAGUUACCAUAAUGAGUUGCCCUAUGGUUAAAGUUUAGCAACGACGCCUAUGCGUGGCUCGGCGCUUAAUGAUGAGCUGGCCUCCAUAUAGCAAUAUAUGGAGUAUAAAUUGUGAUAAACUGUCAUGUGUGAAUAGCAUCAUUGGGAAAUUGGGCUGUGAUGGAAUUUUCGGCAGGUACACUAACCUCGAAAACGUAUGUGUAGUUGACGACUAGCAAAAUACCGUGAGAGUCGUAAGUAUGCCACCGAUAUAGAACGCUAUCGCCACAUUAUGUGGGCAAAAUCAGUGAGGACGAAUAAGACGAGCAUGCAUCCUGAUUGUUGCAUCAUGUUUGUCACCUAUACAUCCAAAAUGCUUCUCUCGCCUUUAUUCCAGUAACCAGUGAUUGUAGAUAAUGUGGUGUAAUGUUGUAUUAUGAACUUCAAUGAAAUAGUUGUCCUCUGUUCUUUAGGUAAUCUAUUUAGAUGUUAUACGAGUUAGCUCUUGUACUUGAUGUGCCGAUAGAAUGUUGGUGAUUUGUUUGCCAAAACCCAAAACUAGGCUAGGUUCUUAUUUAGUGAACCAUGACCCAAAGUUGAUUUUUCCAUUAUCACUCCAUGACCAAACACAUAAAAAUAAAUGCCAGAAUAAUUUUUUGUUGGACCUAAAGUGUACCCAGACUUAAAACAAGGAUAUCGAGUCAUGUUUCCUUCCAAAACCAUUCCCUUGUUCGAUUUGUGCAAACUGAUGUCUAUAUUCUACUUUUGUAUCUUCUUGGGGAUCAUGUCGAUACUUUAUCAACUUAACCCAGGAAAGACAUGUCUGAUCAUUUUCUUAAGUUUGAUGCCUUUGGUUUCUUCAUAUCUCUCGAAGGCAUACCAAUUUAAUCUGAUGAUUGUUUUCCCUUUGUAUCUAAUCAGAUGCUAAUCCUUGACCUUGCAAUCUUUGCGAUGGCAUAGAAAUAUGCUUGGGGCUAAAGUAACAGUCUCCCACCGUACUCCUUUCAUCAAUUUAGGUUAUGGCCAUACCUUGUUCAUUUCAUCGGGCCAUGAUCUAUUUGGCUCUCUACUUGUAACCAUUCUUACAGGUGGAGUAUCUCUUUGUAUAUUGUCACCCUUGCUCAAUCCAUUGGUGUUGCGCGAGAUUUUUUAUUGGUUAUGUCUGGUAAUGGUGCUAUGACUAAAACUGAUGGUGCCGUGAUGAAACCGAGGGCCUUCUGUGGGUGCGCACACAUGGUUGUGCUACUCGGCACGGGCUGGUAUCACGGUUAGUAGUUGUAAUCCAUUAUGAGACUAUGUCAAUGCGUUAUCUUGGCACAAUCUGUUUUUGCUACGUGAGAUUGUUAUUGGUGCCAGUUCAGUAAUGGUGUCAUGGUUAAUGACUUAUGGUGCCGCAGCGAAACUGAGAGCCUCCUGUGAAUGCGCACACAGGACUGUGCUACUCGUCGGAUGCUGGUAUCAAGGUCUCUAGUCAUGAUCAGUUAUGGAAUUACACUGAUGUGUUAUCUUCCGUAAACAUUUCCCUUGAAACGAUUUCGGUGUUGUUUGUCAAAGUGACCAAGCAACAUUUAUCAUCUUUGUUGGAUCAAAAGGGCAUACCACUUUUAUGUGUGGUCUCUUUUCUUUUGAUCUCGGUAGUGACUACUCAUACAAGUUCCCUUUACAUCCUUUCUUGUAAAGGUGAAGCCAUCGAGCUUUUUAGUGUUGGAAAACAACUGAUUAGCUCUCAAAAAUAGACAUAUGUUUCCCCUGCUGCUGAGAUGCAGGAGUUUGUUCAUUCGCUCUCUUGUUUAAUUCAUGUAUUCCCUAAGCAAGUCAGUUCAUCUCGCAUGCAGAAACGGAUGAACAACCUAAUCAAAUGGAUUUCUACCCAAGUGCAUGAUCUCCUAUUAAUGAGAAUGAACUCUCAACCCUUGUCUUACCGAUGGUACUGAGAGGACUUGCUCAAUGUCAAAAGUAGUUCAACAAGUUGGUUUUACUAACUUGUAACUGCAUUGUGAACAAAGAUUGAGUUUAGAGAUUGUUUUAUCGAGUUGUCUGAACUCACUUUGGUUCCACCCACCCUAAAGAAAGUACUUACAAGAAUCGGGAUAAAGUCAGACAGUAACCACCUAGUCAUCGCUCUAGUCAUGCCUCGAUUGCCUCACGUGUGCCUUUUCCAACAUGUGUGAUCAGGUCGAGUCAUGCUUAGUGCUUAAAAAAGCGGAUUGAUUGUGAAGCCAACAUUUGUUGAUAAUCUUCACUGAUGUUUCCUCGAGUCUCCAUUAGCACCAUUGGACUUGGAUUUUCUGGCUAAAACGAGUUAACUGUGAUGUUAUUCGACAUUCACACCCAUCUCGUGUGCUACGAACUUACUGUGACCACUUGUUGGUAAACCUCUUUCUAUGUGUUUUACCCAAGAGGUUGCAUCUGAUUCUGUUUGGGUAAAGUCGCAUAUCCACAGCUCGCUCAACAGACUCAGAUAGUACAUUAUCAUCAGAAAAAGCAAACUGCACACAUGGAACCUUAUGUGUUCUUCUGGCAGACAGCGUCUCUAUUGUUGGACAUCUCUAAAAUUAGCCUAAGGCGAUACAUGAUAUGUCCACUAGAGAAACAACCCUCUCAGACACCUGCCUUUGCUUGGAAUUGUCUUAUGAUUACCGCUGAUAUGGACAUGGGUUACACGCUGCUCUACUCUUAAAAGUUUUUCGCUCCGAAUCUCGGGACGAGAUUCUUUUAAGGGGGGAGGGCUGUAACACCCCUGGUGGUUAUAUUCCGCUCGACAACGAGUAUGGAUUUAAGCACGUAAUAUCAGUGGAUAAAACAGAUGCUAAAUUAUUUGUCAUCUUCGCCUAUCACGAUUUUAAUAUCGCAUUUGUUUCUGUCGCGAGUAAAACAUCAUUUUUUUUAUUUUUAUCUAUCCGGGCUCUUCCUGAAUUUUCGUGAUGUUCGGAACAUAGUUCUUCCAAAAAAUCGGCGAGUCUGGUGAUUAUUUAAAAUUCAUCGCUCGCGCAAAGACGAAUUUGAAAAUUUAGUUCAGCCCUCUGAGUUCAUCCCAAACAAAUUAAAUAGAACUCGACGACUAAAGUUUUCGGUGCAAAGUAAUUCAGUCUCCACUCGUCAACUGAGAAUUCGUGUCUAAGGAAUUAUAAUUAAGAUUUAAUUCUCCAAUAAAUCAUCUAUGACAGAGCGAUCAGGUGUUCAAGUGGCAGAUGAAGUUAGCUGAUUUUAAGUCGUAUCAAAUAUAGUUUAAAAUAUCAGGCUCGAUCCCGUUUGGUUUCAUUCUGUUUGCAUCUUAUCCGAACCCGAUAUUAUCCGAGACAAAGAGAUUAGGUUCAAAAUUAUAUUUAGGAUCGCUUGCGUUACCAAGAAAUCGUGCGCAAGAUUAAUAAUUAGGAUUAUUCUUUAGUGUGCUAUUUUAGGUAGAGAAAUUAAAUGGGUUCCGAAAACAGAUAAAUUUUUAUUCAGGCUCAAUCAAAUUAAUAGCGUUAACCCGAUAAUACUUCAGUCUGGUCUUUCAGCAUCGUACCGAAACUCUAAUUCUGAGUCUAAAUAUCUACGUUACUUUUGUUAAAAAUGAAAGGCAGAAAAUCAUUUUUCUCUUCUGUUGGCUUUAUCCAAUCCACCGCUAGCACUGCGUGGCCAAAUCACAGGAUUAGCGUCAUUUUUACUUCCACGCGUCCUUCUCCCAUUCAUACGCCGUUCAACAGAUGGCCAUCUCCUUAGCCUUAUCACUUGGCAUCUAAAAUUCUACAAAAUCGUGCAUAUAUCCUGCCAAGCUCAUUCUUAUCUUACGUACAGCUAUGCACCGUUCUUCAUCUGACUCUCACGGCCUCACGUACUCGGUCUCAUCCUCAGCCGUUCUCUACGUGCACUCUUUGCUCUCUCUGACCAACAAGCCAUGUCUCCUCCGCGUUGUUCCUGCUGUUACGCGCCUCCUCCUUGUUGUCCGUCCAUGAGCUCGCUCCGGCCUCUUGCUCCCUCGGUCGGCACCGUGCUCGGCUUCCAGCUCGUCAAGCUCAGCCCCCAUGGCCGAACGCCCUCCCAGCCAUGACCCCCCGGUGUUUAGCCCUGGUCGCUCGCCCUCAUCUGUGCUGCGCCAACGCUCCAGCCAUGGAGUCCCUACGCGCACACCUCCGCUCGGAUUUCGCCAAGGCCCGCACUGUUCCCUGGCGCUUCUUCCUGCGCCGCGCCCCUGGUCCUCUGUUGGCCGCGCGGCCGUCUCCUGCUCCCUGCUCACCGAGCUCCUUGUGCGGGCCGCAUUCCUCUACUCGGCCACGAAUGUCGCGUUGUCGGCCGCGGCUUUCUCUCUCUACUUCACCUCCCUGUGCGUGGUAGUGCCCCUCUGCUCGC